CUUUUCCUCUAUUUCGUCGUUGAUGUUCGGCUUCAUUCCUUCGCACGACGUUCUUCGGCUCCUUCGUGGGCUUUGGACUUCACUCCUUCGACGACGUUUCCUUUGGAUCGGAUCAGAAGUUACGACAUUUUGAUCGGAAGCAACGACGGCAGCUCGCUCGCUGUGAAGGUAACUUUCUCCCUUUCGCGUGCUUCUUCGGCCGAAACAUCUCCUAAACCACUUUAUCGCUGGUAUUCACCAUCUCCAAAGUUCUAUCGAUAUCUCAGGUAAUAUAACUCGCCGGUUUUCCAAAUGAUUUCCGCCGUAUGCUGGGUGCCAAAAGGGGCAUCCAAGGUUGUACCUGUGGUUGCAGAGCCUCCAUCGAAAGAGGAAAUCGAGGAGGUCUUGAGGACGGGAGUGUUGGAGCGAAAGGGAGAUAUUGACGAAGAGGAGGAUGAGUGCAUGGAUGUUGAUGACGCUCCUGAGGUGUUGGACGAGGUUUCCAUUGCCCGGGCGGCAACAAAGGCUCUCAAUCAGGUUCAAGCAGGUAGGGAAUCCAGAGAUUUACAAGCGGUUUCUGUUGGCAUUGAGGAGCUCAACAUGGAUGCUUAUGAUGAUGAGGAUGAUGGCAUUGAGUUAUUUGCUAGUGGGAUCGGGGACACUUACUAUCCGAGCAAUGAUAUGGAUCCUUAUCUGCAAAACAAAGGCGAUGAUGAGGAUGAUGAUGAUGAUGAGAUAGAGGACAUGACCAUUAAACCUACUGAUUCUGUUAUAGUUUGUGCUCGCAAUGAGGAUGAAGUCAGUCAUCUGGAGGUUUGGAUUUUUGAGGAUUCAGGAGAUGGAGAUUCAAAUAUGUAUGUGCAUCAUGAUGUCAUCUUACCGGCUUUCCCCCUUUGCACCGCAUGGCUGGAUUGUAACCUUAAAGGUGGUGAUAAAGGUAACUUUCUGGCUGUUGGCUCGUUGGAACCUGCAAUAGAGAUUUGGGAUCUUGAUCUUAUUGAUGAAGUACAGCCAUUUCUUGUACUAGGGGGUGUGUCAAACAAGAAGAAAAAAAACAAAAAGAAAUCAGUUAUCUACAGGAAAGAUAGCCAUAAAGACUCUGUUCUUGGCCUUGCCUGGAACAAGGAGGUGAGGAAUGUCCUAGCUAGUGCAAGUGCGGACAAGUCAGUCAAGAUAUGGGAUGUUGUUACUGGGAAAUGUGUUGCUACUACUGCUCACCAUUCGGACAAGGUCCAGUCAGUUGCAUGGAACCGGUUUUCUCCUGAGCUGCUGCUUAGUGGAUCUUUUGACAGAUCAGUUGUUAUGGUAGAUGGGAGAUCUAUCAAUGAGGUUAGCAAGAAGUGGCCUGUUAUGGCUGAUGUUGAAGGCUUGGCAUGGGAUCCCCAUGCAGAUCACUCUUUUGUGGUUAGUCAAGAAAAUGGCGUGGUUCAAGGUUUUGAUAUUAGGAUAGGAUCAUCAGAUGGUUCCAGUUUUAAACCAGUCUUCACACUCCAUGCACAUGACAAAGCUGUAUCUUCAAUUUCCUAUAAUCCAUGUAGACCCAAUCUUCUUGCUACAGGAUCAACAGAUAAAACGGUGAAGCUAUGGGAUCUAUCUAACAGUCAGCCUUCUUGUGUUGCAUCUACAAAACCUAAAGCUGGAAGCAUUUUUUCCAUAGCUUUCUCAGAGGACAAUCCAUUUUUGUUAGCCGUUGGAGGCCACAAAGGGAAACUGAAAAUAUGGGACGUGACAUCGGAACCAGGGAUAGCUCGAAGCUUUGAAAAGUACAUUAAUAAAGGAGAAGGUCCAGCGACUUCGGCCUAAUCUUGGAAAAGCAGGGCGGAGUCGCUAUUGUAUUGGGCCCUUUAGGAGCUGCUUAGUUUGGCUAGCAGGUUGCAAGUUAUGGUUUGUGAGCAAUGAUGUGGCUAGGGCUCACUUGUCUUAAGCUAUGGCUCGUGGCAACCUUUGGUGUUACGUGCUCUUUUUGGUUGGCUACUCUCUUACUCUAAACUGGAUGGCCCAUACCUGGCUUGGGAUUGGUUGGAAGCCUCUACCAAUUACUGAGCCUGAUAGUUCUCACCCCCCUCUAUUUGUAUCUUUGUAGCU
Molecule: RNA transcript, 2064 nt
Organism: Dendrobium catenatum
Lineage: Eukaryota; Viridiplantae; Streptophyta; Magnoliopsida; Asparagales; Orchidaceae
Exons: 18
Source: RefSeq, a predicted model, not a curated record